ACAGUCUCUCACACUCGAGAUGCAAAAUUAAGGAAGAAAGUAUAGUUUCCCCAGCUUCAGCCCCACACACACUUUGUCAGAAGGCACGACACCAUAAUUGACGUUCCCAGCAAGACUGAAUUCAAUAGGAAGAGUGAAUGCCACAGAAAAUCAGAGAGAAAGAAUAGACAGCUCAAAACUACAGACGUCCUAACCAUUUAAUAGUCGGAUGGAUGGUUGGGGAGAUCAAAGAAUGCUUGAAUAUUUGGCGGGUCAGUUUCAACUCCGAUCCACUAGGGGGCGCGAAGAGACUGCUAGCGCGGGGUCCAUCCGGGGAUUCGCCGCUCUAGGCCCUAGCUCGUCUCUCAACUGCAGUUCCGCCAGCGCCCGACAGAUGGAGGGUGGGUCCUGUCUCCGAGUCGCCGGGAACCGUCCAGCAUCUUCUCACGUCGUCCAGUUUGACCUGCAGCCGACAUUCCUGGCGCCCCGGACGAGUCCACUGCGUGCAGAGGCGUCAUGGAAGCUGUCAUGUCAGGAGCAUUCUAGACCGUGCUGUCCUUGAGAUGUUGGCUUGAAGAAAGGCAAGGUAACAUCGGAGAGCAAACCCUUGUCGUGACCUCCUGCCCUGUUGACCUCCCCAUCAUGCUGGGGGUGCUGCCUUGGAGGACACCUCGGGGAUGGGAACACUGGCCUCUCAGGAUGGUGACCCGGGUUCCAGCUUCCCUGGAGGAGCCUCCUCAUGGUUGUUCUGGGUCUGAUCACAGCCACUUGCGUAGCAGACUGAAGAGGGGUGUUGCUGCAUGACCACCGCCAGACCUUCUUCUCCUGUUGCCUCAGCACAGUAUGGAAGGGCUUGGCCCCAUGUGACCAGGUCAGGGGCCUGGGUAAGGCCUGAGACCUUGGGACCUUGGGAUUCACAGCUGGAGACCUUCAGCUGGCUCUGCCCCUGCCCCCUAGCAGGUGCCACAGGGCACAGCAGACCCAGAAGACUGGUUUCCUUCCAUCUGGACCAGGUCCUCCAGUGGCCUCCAUGUCCCCCUCUCUGCUCCUGGUGUAACUUUUAGAGCCAGGAGUUCCUGUUGGAGGCGUCUCUGCUGGGCAUCUUGUCCUCUCACCCACUUCAAUAAAUCUUGAAACAGCCCUGCCGCUUGUUUCUUUUGUUUCCUUUAAUCCCUGCCUCUGUGUGCACAGCUGGGUGGAGAGACCAUGGGUCACAGGGGCAGGUCUUCCAGUUUUCACUCACUGAGACUUUCUACUUCACACACUCCUGAGGCCUGACCUGAGGAUGGGAUGUAGAAUUGCAAAAUGCCAUGGGUUUAACCCGUCCCAAGUGCUCUGGGGGCUCAGGUUUCGGAGAGAAGGGAGCUGUUAGAAUUGUUGGCAGAGGAACGUUUGCACCAGGGCUUUGGAAGAGAGUAUGAGGGUGGGCUGGACAUAGAGAGAGUCAGGCACUGAAGUCCUCCCGGAGGGCAGGAGAGCCCUGGGGUGGAAGUACAUGUGGUGAAUUUAGGGAGACGGUUUUGAGCAGGGGUAGAAGAGGGGUACAGUAGGAAUGGCUGCCUCGGGAGGACUCUGGGGGCAUGGUGGGCAAAGGCCAGGUGUUGGGCUUAUAUAAGGGUUCACGGGUAGUCAAAAAUCCAGAGUUAGUCAAAAAUCCAAAUUGCGACUUCCUGGCGGUCCAGUGGUUAAGACCAUGCUUGCACAGGUUCGAUCCCUGGUCAGGGAGCUAGGAUCCCAUGUGUCAUGCAGUGUAGCCAAAACAAAAAAAAAACGGACAUGUUUUUGACCAUUCACCUUGUUCACUUUCAAAUUGUAAAUGAUGCUCACCCCAACCCAGCCUUUUAGGUCUGCCCUCCCCUGCCUUCUGCCACCC
This is a long non-coding RNA of Bos taurus (domestic cattle), 1852 nucleotides long. The record is from Ensembl. Lineage: Eukaryota; Metazoa; Chordata; Mammalia; Artiodactyla; Bovidae.